GUUACCGCCCACACCUCUUCUCCCCUCAGCUUAACAGAUAAUCCACUUAUACAGUACAUACUUUCCCCCUGUUUUUGGAUGUAACCUAAAUAUACCAGAUACACCCCUUUGGUAUCCCCUGAUAGCCCUGAUCUGGGUGAACAACAUAUUACAAUAUCACCCAGUUUGGACCAGGGGUUCGGGAGUUAGGUGGAAGUGUUUAUUUGACAGACCGCACACAAGGCAGUAGCCAAACUCAGUUCCAUACAUUUUGGCCUUGCAGUCGGUCUUUAUUCGUGAGGUGAAAUACAUGAUGUAGCGGAUGUCACUGGGCUGUCCUGCAAAUUUCAUGUGAAUAACUGCAUUCGUGUAAACUGCUAGUUUUAUAUGUGUUUAAAAGAAAUGUAUUCCUCUGAUUGUUCGGUAGAAUCAUUCGAAUAAACUAAGGGAAUGAAACUACCGAACAAUCAGACCUCCCCUGUGUGAAGUGUGCCUUCAAUUACCCGUUGCAACAAUGUUGCGAACAGGUAAUUGACGAGCUAUGCAGUAGGUCCUUUGUCUCGGGGUGGCCGCCAUUCGGGAAACAAACACGUGGUGGCGGCCAUUUUACAAACUCCCGAACAGCGGUGUUUUGCCGUCGAGUGUCUGGAACCCAAAUCGGACACUCGACUAGGCGAACACCGCUGAGAGCUCCACAAGCCCGGUCCGUUCGGUUCCAAACUACCGAACGGCCCCUCGUUCGGUAGGCAGAAACAACCGAACGAGGGGAUUCAUGUGAAUCCUACCUAAUCUCUGUAACCUUAGCCGUUCGUGUAAAUUAUUCCCUUAUACUGUGACCGACCGCAGGGCCCCAUCACAUGGAACCCAAUUCGGCUGUUCUAUUCAGUGCGGUCGGUCUUUUUAGUACCUCCAUAAAUUUCCUGAACCCCUGGUCUGAUCUGAGUGAUUUUUGGAUAUGUUGCUCACCCAGAUCAGGGCUACCAGGGGAUGUGCCAUUUAAAGGGGUACCCCUAGGUUUAGGGGUACAUCCAGGAACUGGGGGAAUUUGGGUACAGUAUAAGGGGAUUAUGAUGCAGGCUGAGGGGAGGAGAUGUGUGGGAGGUUACUAAUACCGGAUUGGGUAAUGUACUAAUUGUUGAAAAUCCCUCCCUUGCAUGGGAGCAUGCUAUAUAAGGCGCUGUGGAAAAAAGGUUGUCAGUUCUGCUCCUGAAACUGUGUGUCGUCCAGUUAUUGGGAUUGGUGGUGGGAUACUGCUGUGUUAUUUUGCCUGCUGGAAACCUUGCCUGUGGAUUUACAAUUUACUUGUUCCUGAGCCUCACUUGGAUUAUAAGCGGAGAUAGCCUGGGGAAUAUUGUAUCUCCGCUGAGCUGGGGUUUGUAUGAAUCCACUUGUUCGAGAGAUUCAUUUAGCCAAACGGCGGGCUCUUCGUCUGUUUCAUUCGGCAGUUAUGGAGCUCUGGAGGUCUUAGCAGUGUUCGUGUAGUCGAGUGUCUGAUUUGGGUUCCAGACACUUGACGACCAAACACUGCUAAGCGUUCGAAUACUAAGAUGGCCGCUGCCACGUGUUUGCAUGCCAAAUGGCGGCCACCCAGGAAUAUAGCAGUGUGUUUGUAUCUUUUACACUUAAUUGGCAAUAAAGAUUGUU
Pelobates cultripes (western spadefoot toad) is the source of this 1623-nucleotide non-coding RNA. The record is from the annotation of a GenBank genome assembly. NCBI's taxonomy places the organism in Eukaryota, Metazoa, Chordata, Amphibia, Anura, Pelobatidae.